AAAUGACUCUCGGCAACGGAUAUCUCGGCUCACGCAUCGAUGAAGAACGUAGCAAAAUGCGAUACUUGGUGUGAAUUGCAGAAUCCCGUGAACCAUCGAGUUUUUGAACGCAAGUUGCGCCCGAAGCCAUUCGGCCGAGGGCACGUCUGCCUGGGCGUCACACAU
RNAcentral lists this ribosomal RNA (165 nucleotides) under Linzia glabra. Its description in RNAcentral is "5.8S ribosomal RNA". It matches the Rfam family "5.8S ribosomal RNA". Rfam says of the family: 5.8S ribosomal RNA (5.8S rRNA) is a component of the large subunit of the eukaryotic ribosome. It is transcribed by RNA polymerase I as part of the 45S precursor that also contains 18S and 28S rRNA. Functionally, it is thought that 5.8S rRNA may be involved in ribosome translocation. The record is from RNAcentral. Lineage: Eukaryota; Viridiplantae; Streptophyta; Magnoliopsida; Asterales; Asteraceae. RNAcentral also lists the same sequence under 4 other names.